Molecule: ribosomal RNA, 474 nt
Filed under: Triticum aestivum (bread wheat)
Lineage: Eukaryota; Viridiplantae; Streptophyta; Magnoliopsida; Poales; Poaceae
Description: partial small subunit ribosomal RNA
Source: RNAcentral
AUGGCGACUGCGAUGGACCAUCAGGAAAGUCUGCUGCGCAUGGACUCUGAGACCUCGGUGCAAAUGGGUGAUGAGUUGCCGCCCAUGGAUGAAGAAACCACUCUCCGCAUGGAUGGAAGUGGCACUGUCUGCCUAGAUGAAGGAGGAACUAUCUGCAUAGAUGAAGCAGGCACUGUCCACACAGACAUCAUCCCUGUUGCACCUUCUAUUGAUAGGAAUGCUGUCAUCAAUGAAGAAGAACAACAGCUUGUGCUUCAACCAGAUGUGAUGACUACCAAGACUAGACUUAGAAAGGGCAAAGGGCUAGAUAGAAUCACCAAGUCGCUUGGUAGCAAGGUGCCUAUCCAAAUUGCCGAAGGGAUGAAGCGUCCAGAGAAGCCUCUGCAGGCAGCAAAGCUUGCUUCUGAGUGUGGACUCGUUGCAAGAAGCCAUCUGCCCAUUCUUCCUCACUUCAAGCUAUACAAAAAAUGCUAG